GAGAAAACAUGAACUUUCUUUAUCAAGAGAAUCCAUUGUUUUUGUCAAACCACUGGAAAAUGUCUUGGCAGAAAAUGUGGGAAUGAAAGAUUGCACCAUAACUUCUACAAUGUGCUGUAGUGGUUAAUUAAGGGCAGGAAUUAAAAUACAUUCUGGUGGGUUCACUAAUUCUCUCACACUGUUAAAACUAAACAUUGUCUUAAUAUUGGCAGCUAUGUGCAGCAGAACGUGUUACUAUGAUAAAGCUACAGUUUAUUCUUAUUUAAAACUACAUUUUGUUCCCCCUCUUUAAUUAUUUCAGUGACCCUCAUUGAUAAGUGAGCAGUUUCUUUCUCUCCAUCCGAUGAUCCAUGUCAAAUCUUCCCAGCGUUAUGUUGCUGUUUUCAGAAAAUAGCAGGCUCCGGGAAAAACAAAUUAGUGGAUACUACUGGGAGCACUCUUAAAUAGAACUGUGUGUCGAGACG
Molecule: non-coding RNA, 464 nt
Organism: Pelobates cultripes (western spadefoot toad)
Lineage: Eukaryota; Metazoa; Chordata; Amphibia; Anura; Pelobatidae
Source: the annotation of a GenBank genome assembly